GAUGAACGCUGGCGGCGUGCCUAAUACAUGCAAGUCGAGCGAACAGACGAGGAGCUUGCUCCUCUGACGUUAGCGGCGGACGGGUGAGUAACACGUGGAUAACCUACCUAUAAGACUGGGAUAACUUCGGGAAACCGGAGCUAAUACCGGAUAACAUGUUGAACCGCAUGGUUCAACAGUGAAAGACGGUCUUGCUGUCACUUCUAGAUGGAUCCGCGCCGCAUUAGCUAGUUGGUAAGGUAACGGCUUACCAAGGCAACGAUGCGUAGCCGACCUGAGAGGGUGAUCGGCCACACUGGAACUGAGACACGGUCCAGACUCCUACGGGAGGCAGCAGUAGGGAAUCUUCCGCAAUGGGCGAAAGCCUGACGGAGCAACGCCGCGUGAGUGAAGAAGGUCUUCGGAUCGUAAAACUCUGUUAUUAGGGAAGAACAAAUGUGUAAGUAACUAUGCACGUCUUGACGGUACCUAAUCAGAAAGCCACGGCUAACUACGUG
Molecule: ribosomal RNA, 497 nt
Filed under: uncultured bacterium
Lineage: Bacteria
Description: partial 16S ribosomal RNA
Rfam family: Bacterial small subunit ribosomal RNA
Source: RNAcentral